Molecule: ribosomal RNA, 510 nt
Filed under: uncultured bacterium
Lineage: Bacteria
Description: partial 16S ribosomal RNA
Rfam family: Bacterial small subunit ribosomal RNA
Source: RNAcentral
GACGAACGCUGGCGGCGUGCUUAACACAUGCAAGUCGAACGAAGAGCGAUGGAAGCUUGCUUCUAUCAAUCUUAGUGGCGAACGGGUGAGUAACGCGUAAUCAACCUGCCCUUCAGAGGGGGACAACAGUUGGAAACGACUGCUAAUACCGCAUACGAUCCAAUCUCGGCAUCGGGACUGGAUGAAAGGUGGCCUCUAUUUAUAAGCUAUCACUGAAGGAGGGGUUUGCGUCUGUUUAGGUAGUUGGGGGGGUAACGGCCCACCAAGGGGAAGAUGAGUAGCAGGUCGGAGAGGAGGAACGGCCAAAUUGGGAAUGAGACAAGGCACAGAAUGCUACGGGGGGGAGCAGUGGGGAAACGUCCGAAAGGGACGAAAGUCUGACGGAGAAACGCCGAGUGAGGGAUGACGGCCGUCGGGUUGGAAAGCUCGGUUAAUCGGGACGAAUGGUUCUUGUGCGAAUAGUGCGAGGAAUUGACGGUACCGGAAUAGAAAGCCACGGCUAACUACGUG